UGGGGAAUAUUGGGCAAUGGGCGAAAGCCUGACCCAGCAACGCCGCGUGAGGGAAGAAGGCCUUCGGGUUGUAAACCUCUGUCCUUGGUGACGAAGAAAGUGACGGUAGCCAAGGAGGAAGCCCCGGCUAACUACGUGCCAGCAGCCGCGGUAAUACGUAGGGGGCGAGCGUUGUCCGGAAUUACUGGGCGUAAAGGGUGCGUAGGUGGCCUUUUAAGUUGGAUGUGAAAUACCCGGGCUUAACUUGGGGGGUGCAUCUAAUACUGGGAGGCUAGAGUGCAGGAGAGGGAAGCGGAAUUCCUAGUGUGGCGGUGAAAUGCGUAGAUAUUAGGAGGAACACCAGUGGCGAAGGCGGCUUUCUGGACUGUAACUGACACUGAGGCACGAAAGC
RNAcentral lists this ribosomal RNA (391 nucleotides) under uncultured bacterium. RNAcentral describes it as "bacterial SSU rRNA". It matches the Rfam family "Bacterial small subunit ribosomal RNA", at positions 355 to 760 of the family's 1533-position model. The record is from RNAcentral.